GACGAACGCUGGCGGCGUGCCUAAUACAUGCAAGUCGAACGAGAGCGACCGGUGCUUGCACUGGUCAAUCUAGUGGCGAACGGGUGAGUAACACGUGGGUAACCUGCCCAUCAGAGGGGGAUAACAUCCGGAAACGGAUGCUAAAACCGCAUAGGUCUUCGAGCCGCAUGGCUUGAAGAGGAAAAGAGGCGCAAGCUUCUGCUGAUGGAUGGACCCGCGGUGCAUUAGCUAGUUGGUGAGGUAACGGCUCACCAAGGCCGUGAUGCAUAGCCGACCUGAGAGGGGGAUCGGCCACAUUGGGACUGAGACACGGCCCAAACUCCUACGGGAGGCAGCAGUAGGGAAUCUUCCGCAAUGGACGCAAGUCUGACGGAGCAACGCCGCGUGAGUGAAGAAGGUUUUCGGAUCGUAAAACUCUGUUGUUAGAGAAGAACAAGUGCUAGAGUAACUGUUAGCGCCUUGACGGUAUCUAACCAGGAAGCCACGGCUAACUACGU
Molecule: ribosomal RNA, 497 nt
Filed under: uncultured bacterium
Lineage: Bacteria
Description: partial 16S ribosomal RNA
Rfam family: Bacterial small subunit ribosomal RNA
Source: RNAcentral